GUUGAGCACAGUGGGUCUCCCUCAUAAUCCUAGCUACCAGGGAGGUUGAGCCUGGUGGAUCUUUUGAGUUUGAUUUUGAGCUGCAAUGAGAUAUGCUAAUUAGGCGUCUGAACUAGGAUUGGUAUUAAUUUGGUUAACCCCAGAAACAGGGACCACCAGGUUUUCUAAGGAAAAUUAAACUGGCCAAGGUGAGAAACAGAGCAAGUCAAAGUUUCCAUACCCAACAGUAGUCAAAUCAGGCCUAUGAGAGCCCCUGAACUUUAGAUUCAGCAAAAUAGAGAUUCAGUCAUU
RNAcentral lists this signal recognition particle RNA (291 nucleotides) under Vombatus ursinus (common wombat). Its description in RNAcentral is "Metazoan signal recognition particle RNA (ENSVURG00010015446.1)". It matches the Rfam family "Metazoan signal recognition particle RNA". From Rfam's summary of the family: The signal recognition particle (SRP) is a universally conserved ribonucleoprotein. It is involved in the co-translational targeting of proteins to membranes. The eukaryotic SRP consists of a 300-nucleotide 7S RNA and six proteins: SRPs 72, 68, 54, 19, 14, and 9. Lineage: Eukaryota; Metazoa; Chordata; Mammalia; Diprotodontia; Vombatidae. The record is from RNAcentral.